GACGAACGCUGGCGGCGUGCUUAACACAUGCAAGUCGAACGGAAAGGCCCUGCUUUUGUGUGGUGCUCGAGUGGCGCGCGUGUGAGUAACCCGUGAGUAUCCUGCCCUUUACUUUGUGAUAACUUCAGGCAACUGGUGCUAAUACCUGCUUGCUGCUCCUGCUGCAUGGUGGGGUUUGGACCUUUUAGGCGGUUGGGGAUGUACGCCGGGCUUAUGAGCUUGUUGGUGGGGUAGUGGCUUACCAAGGCUUUGGCGGGUAGCCGGCCUGAGAGGGUGAACAGCGACAUGGGGACUGAGAGACGGCGCAGACUCCUACGGGAGGCAGCAGGGGGGAAUAUUGCACAAUGGGCGGAAGCGUGAGGCAGAAACGCCGCGUGCGGGAUGACGGACUUCGGGUUGUAAACCGCUGUAGCCUGUGACGAAGCGUGAGUGACGGUAAUGGGUAAAGAAGCACCGGCUAACUACGUG
RNAcentral lists this ribosomal RNA (468 nucleotides) under uncultured bacterium. RNAcentral describes it as "partial 16S ribosomal RNA". It matches the Rfam family "Bacterial small subunit ribosomal RNA", at positions 28 to 507 of the family's 1533-position model. The record is from RNAcentral.